UAAAUAUAUAUUUAUGGGGAGAUUUUUCUCCCCAUCUUUUUAUUCUUUGUCAUUUUUCAAUUAAUAUGACAUUAGUUGAUAUAAUUUCGGAUUAAUUGUGUAUUAUCGUUUCAUAUUAAAUAUGAAUUUUUAUGUUUAAGGUUUUAUUUACAAAUUUUUUUUCUUUCAAUUUUAUGAUUUUAAAUAAAUGACGUGUUUUUUGUCAGUGUAGUUUUCAUAUCAAAGACAUUUUGUAACAAAUCAACCUCAUAUUUGGCUGUGUAUGUAUCGUAUGUUUAGGGUAUCUAUCUGUAUGUAUUAAAUUAUGAUUGGUUUGUGAUUAUCAGUUAGUGUGAGUCUUGAGACAUAUGUCACACCUAUUCAUUUACAUUUAUACAAGUCAUACAAAUGUUCUUCCCAUGGUAAUGGCAUGACAGGAGAACUUGACAUUGUAAAUAAUUAACAUCUUUCUGAGGCAAAAAUAUCUAAUUCCAACAAGCAUAAAUACCACAAGUAACAUUUAUAUAUUAAAAUGCAGUAAAUUACUAUGUCGGAUGAUAAAUAGAGCGCAAGCAAUCCCAAAUUAAAACAGGACACUUCAUAUAAAAAGGUCAAAUAGUUAUCAAAGGUA
RNAcentral lists this long non-coding RNA (610 nucleotides) under Mytilus galloprovincialis (Mediterranean mussel). Lineage: Eukaryota; Metazoa; Mollusca; Bivalvia; Mytilida; Mytilidae. The record is from RNAcentral.